CCCAGACAAACUCAACAAGGUAACAGACAGUCCCUGUCACCACAGACAAACUCAACAAGGUAACAGACCGUCCCUGUCACCACAGACAAACUCAACAAGGUAACAGACCGUCCCUGUCACCACAGACAAACUCAACAAGGUAACAGACCGUCCCUGUCACCACAGACAAACUCAACAAGGUAACAGACCGUCCCUGUCACCACAGACAAACUCAACAAGGUAACAGACCGUCCCUGUCACCACAGACAAACUCAACAAGGUAACAGACCGUCCCUGUCACCACAGACAAACUGAACAAGGUAACAGACCGUCCCUGUCACCACAGACAAACUCAACAAGGUAACAGACCGUCCCUGUCACCACAGACAAACUCAACAAGGUAACAGACAGUCCCUGUCACCACAGACAAACUCAACAAGGUAACAGACCGUCCCUGUCACCACAGACAAACUCAACAAGGUAACAGACCGUCCCUGUCACCACAGACAAACUCAACAAGGUAACAGACCGUCCCUGUCACCACAGACAAACUCAACAAGGUAACAGACUGUCACCACAGACAAACUCAACAAGGUAACAGACCGUCCCUGUCACCACAGACAAACUCAACAAGGUAACAGACCGUCCCUGUCACCACAGACAAACUCAACAAGGUAACAGACCGUCCCUGUCACCACAGACAAACUCAACAAGGUAACAGACCGUCCCUGUCACCACAGACAAACUCAACAAGGUAACAGACCGUCCCUGUCACCACAGACAAACUCAACAAGGUAACAGACAGUCCCUGUCACCACAGACAAACUCAACAAGGUAACAGACCGUCCCUGUCACCACAGACAAACUGAACAAGGUAACAGACCGUCCCUGUCACCACAGACAAACUCAACAAGGUAACAGACCGUCCCUGUCACCACAGACAAACUCAACAAGGUAACAGACCGUCCCUGUCACCACAGACAAACUCAACAAGGUAACAGACCGUCCCUGUCACCACAGACAAACUCAACAAGGUAACAGACAGUCCCUGUCACCACAGACAAACUCAACAAGGUAACAGACCGUCCCUGUCACCACAGACAAACUCAACAAGGUAACAGACCGUCCCUGUCACCACAGACAAACUCAACAAGGUAACAGACCGUCCCUGUCACCACAGACAAACUCAACAAGGUAACAGACCGUCCCUGUCACCACAGACAAACUGAACAAGGUAACAGACCGUCCCUGUCACCACAGACAAACUCAACAAGGUAACAGACCGUCCCUGUCACCACAGACAAACUCAACAAGGUAACAGACCGUCCCUGUCACCACAGACAAACUCAACAAGGUAACAGACCGUCCCUGUCACCACAGACAAACUCAACAAGGUAACAGACUGUCACCCCAGACAAACUCAACAAGGUAACAGACAGUCCCUGUCACCACAGACAAACUCAACAAGGUAACAGACCGUCCCUGUCACCACAGACAAACUCAACAAGGUAACAGACACACAGUUUUAAUAUAAUCUACUGAAUUAGAGUUCAUUAUUUUAGGUUAAAGUUUAGUGAUGUCAUGUCAAUUUAUCCCCAGGCCAGGAUGAGAGCGCAUGAUUGGGUGAGAGAGGUGGAGAAACCUGUCGUCGUCACAGAAACCAUCGGGGGGGCGACGGAGGAGGAGCAAAGAGGAGAACCUGAAAUAAGAGAGGGAGAAGAAGAGAAGAAAGAGGGGGAGGAGCUGGAGGAGAAGAAAGAGGGGGAGGAGCUAAAGGAGAAGAAAGAGGGGGAGGAGCUAAAGGAGAAGAAAGAGGAGGAGGAGCUAAAGGAGAAGAAAGAGGGGGAGGAGCUAAAGGAGAAGAAAGAGGGGGAGGAGAUAAAGGAGAAUGAGGAAGAGAGACGAUCCAGGUCUGUAGAGGUGAGAUCGGAUGUUGGACAGAG
This is a long non-coding RNA of Oncorhynchus keta (chum salmon), 1922 nucleotides long. RefSeq lists it as uncharacterized. Lineage: Eukaryota; Metazoa; Chordata; Actinopteri; Salmoniformes; Salmonidae. The transcript has 7 exons. The record is from RefSeq and is a predicted model, not a curated record.